GACGAACGCUGGCGGCGUGCCUAAUACAUGCAAGUCGAGCGAAUCUUGAGGUGCUUGCACCUCUUGGUUAGCGGCGGACGGGUGAGUAACACGUGGGCAACCUGCCUGUAAGACUGGGAUAACACCGGGAAACCGGUGCUAAUACCGGAUAAUCCUUUUCCUCUCAUGAGGAAAGCUGAAAGUCGGUUUCGGCUGACACUUACAGAUGGGCCCGCGGCGCAUUAGCAGUUGGUGAGGUAACGGCUCACCAAGGCGACGAUGCGUAGCCGACCUGAGAGGGUGAUCGGCCACACUGGGACUGAGACACGGCCCAGACUCCUACGGGAGGCAGCAGUGGGGAAUCUUGCGCAAUGGGCGAAAGCCUGACGCAGCGACGCCGCGUGAGGGAUGACGGCCU
RNAcentral lists this ribosomal RNA (397 nucleotides) under uncultured bacterium. RNAcentral's name for it is "bacterial SSU rRNA". It matches the Rfam family "Bacterial small subunit ribosomal RNA", at positions 28 to 417 of the family's 1533-position model. The record is from RNAcentral.